AAUAUUGGACAAUGGGGGCAACCCUGAUCCAGCCAUGACGUGUGCGUGAAGAAGGUUUUCGGAUUUUAAAGCACUUUAAGCUGGGAGGAAGGGCUUUAGGUUAAUACCCUGAAGUUUUGACGUUACCAACAGAAUAAGCACCGGCUAACUCUGGUCCAGCAGCCGCGGUAAUACAGAGGGUGCAAGCGUUAAUCGGAAUUACUGGGCGUAAAGCGCGCGUAGGUGGUUCAGUAAGAUGGGUGCGAAAGCCCCGGGCUUAACCUGGGAACUGCUUUCAUAACUGCUGAGCUAGAGUACGGUAGAGGAUAGUGGAAUUUCCUGUGUAGCGGUGAAAUGCGUAGAUAUAGGAAGGAACACCAGUGGCGAAGGCGACUACCUGAACUGAUACUGACACUGAGGUGCGAAAGCGUGGGGAGCGAAC
RNAcentral lists this ribosomal RNA (421 nucleotides) under uncultured bacterium. RNAcentral describes it as "partial 16S ribosomal RNA". It matches the Rfam family "Bacterial small subunit ribosomal RNA", at positions 360 to 773 of the family's 1533-position model. The record is from RNAcentral.